This 2031-nucleotide ribosomal RNA is filed under the name marine metagenome. RNAcentral's name for it is "bacterial LSU rRNA". It matches the Rfam family "Bacterial large subunit ribosomal RNA", at positions 513 to 2514 of the family's 2925-position model. The record is from RNAcentral.
GGUGAAAAGUACCCCGAGAGGGGAGUGAAAUAGACCUGAAACCGUGUACGUACAAACAGUCGGAGUAUCGAUUUAUCGAUAUGACGGCGUGCCUUUUGAAGAAUGAACCUGCGAGUUACUGGGACGUGGCAAGGUUAAUCUGCUAAGCAGAGGAGCCGAAGCGAAAGCGAGUCUGAAUAGGGCAUUCAGUCGCGUUCCGUAGACCCGAAACCAGGCGAGCUACCCAUGGCCAGGUUGAAGCUCAGAUAGUCUCUGAGUGAAGGACCGAACCCAUUUCAAGUACAAAUGGAUGGGAUGAGUUGUGGGUAGAGGUGAAAUGCCAAUCGAGCUUGGAAAUAGCUGGUUCUCCCCGAAAUGCAUUUAGGUGCAGCGUUGAAGAUUGACUUGAGGAGGUAAGGCUCUGGAUGGGUCAGGGGGUGCAAACUUACCGAUCCCAACCAAACCAAGAAUGCCUUAAGCUCGUACUUCAGCAGUGAGACAGUGGGGGAUAAGCUCCAUUGUCGAGAGGGAAACAGCCCAGACCACCGUCUAAGGUCCCCAAGUAUAUACUCAGUGUGAAAGGAAGUUGAAUCGCCAAAACAGCCAGGAGGUUGGCUUAGAAGCAGCCACCCUUUAAAGAGUGCGUAAUAGCUCACUGGUCGAGGGGUUCUGCGCCGACAAUUUAACGGGGCUUAAGUAUAUCACCGAAGACGUGGCAUCAGUUUACUGAUGGGUAGGGGAGCGUUCUGUAGGCAGUGAAGUCUAGUUGUAAAGCUAGGUGGAGCGUACAGAAGUGAGAAUGCAGGUAUGAGUAGCGUAUAUCUCGGUGAGAAUCCGAGACGUCGAAAAUCUGAGGAUUCCUACGCAACGUUUAUCGACGUAGGGUUAGUCGGUCCUAAGGUGUAUCCGAAAGGAGUAACCGAUGGACAGUAGGUCAAAAUUCCUACACCACCUAUUAUUCGUUUUAAUACAAAGGGGGGACACGGAAAGGUAGGCUGAGCGUGCCUAAUGGACAUGGUGCGUUCUUCUUUGAAGGCCAUCUCGCAAGACAUGUAAAUCAGUUAGCGAGGUUAUGAGCUGAGGAAGGAGAGAACUCUAGGGCUCGCCCUGGGGAAUUCGGUUGAACCUAUGCCGUCAAGAAAAGCCUCGUUGUAAGGAUAAUGGGUGACCGUACCGUAAACCGACACUGGUAGAUGAGCAUGAAAGUGCUAAGACGGUCGAGAGAACUCUGGUUAAGGAACUCGGCAAAAGGACCCCGUAACUUCGGGAUAAGGGGUUCCCUCGGGGUGAAGUCUAUUUACUAGACCAGCUCUAGAGGGACACAGCAAAUUGGCCCAAGCGACUGUUUAUCAAAAACACAGGUCUCUGCUAAGGGGUAACCCUAGGUAUAGAGGCUGACGCCUGCCCAGUGCCGGAAGGUUAAAGGGAAAGGUUAUCCGUAAGGAGAAGCUUUGAACUGAAGCCCCGGUGAACGGCGGCCGUAACUAUAACGGUCCUAAGGUAGCGAAGUCCCUUGUCGGGUAAGUUCCGACCCGCACGAAUGGCGUAACGACUUGGGCGCUGUCUCAACCAGAGACUCGGCGAAAUUGCAUUGGCCGUGAAGAUGCGGCCUACCCGCGACAGGACAAAAAGACCCCAUGGAGCUUUACUACAGCUUGGCAUUGAAUUGAGGACUGGAAUGUGUAGGAUAGGUGGGAGGCUUUGAAGCUUCGGCGCUAGUCGAAGUGGAGCCGUUGUUGAAAUACCACUCUUUUCUGUUGUUGAUUCUAACCUGUGAUAGGCACAGGGACCGUGUCUGGUGGGUAGUUUGACUGGGGCGGUCGCCUCCCAAAGAGUAACGGAGGCGUACAAAGGUUCGCUCAGGACGGAUGGAAAUCGUCCGAAGAGUGCAUUGGCAUAAGCGAGCUUGACUGUGAGACCUACAAGUCGAGCAGGUGCGAAAGCAGGUCAAAGUGAUCCUACGGUUCCGCAUGGAAGGGCCGUGGCUUAACGGAUAAAAGCUACCCUGGGGAUAACAGGCUUAUCUUGCCCAAGAGUUCACAUCGACGGCAA